UCCAGACUCCUACGGGAGGCAGCAGUGGGGAAUAUUGGGCAAUGGGCGAAAGCCUGACCCAGCAACGCCGCGUGAAGGAAGAAGGCUUUCGGGUUGUAAACUUCUUUUGACAGGGAAGAGCAGAAGACGGUACCUGUCGAAUAAGCCACGGCUAACUCCGUGCCAGCAGCCGCGGUAAUACGGAGGAUGCGAGCGUUAUCCGGAUUUAUUGGGUUUAAAGGGUGCGUAGGCGGACGCUUAAGUCAGCGGUAAAAUUGCGGGGCUCAACCUCGCUCCGCCGUUGAAACUGGCGUUCUUGAGUGGGCGAGAAGUAUGCGGAAUGCGUGGUGUAGCGGUGAAAUGCAUAGAUAUCACGCAGAACUCCGAUUGCGAAGGCAGCGUACCGGCGCCCAACUGACGCUCAUGCACGAAAGCGUGGGUAUCGAACAGGAUUAGAUACCCGCGUA
This 446-nucleotide ribosomal RNA is filed under the name uncultured bacterium. Its description in RNAcentral is "bacterial SSU rRNA". It matches the Rfam family "Bacterial small subunit ribosomal RNA", at positions 330 to 792 of the family's 1533-position model. The record is from RNAcentral.